AAUGAACGCUGGCGGCGUGGAUUAGGCAUGCAAGUCGAACGAGAAAAGCUCCUUCGGGGGUCUAGUAAAGUGGCGACCUGGUCAGUAACAGUUGGGUAACUUGCCCGGAAGUAAGGAAUAACUCAGGGAAACCUGGGCUAAUACCUCAUGUGGACAUAGACUCCUCGGAGCCUUUGUCUAAAGUAUUUAUACGCUUCCGGAUGGGCCCGACCCCCAUUAGCUAGUUGGUAAGGUAAUGGCUUACCAAGGCUACGAUGGGUAGGCGACGUGAGAGCGUGACCGCCGACACGAGGACUGAGAUACGGCCUCG
This 310-nucleotide ribosomal RNA is filed under the name uncultured bacterium. RNAcentral describes it as "bacterial SSU rRNA". It matches the Rfam family "Bacterial small subunit ribosomal RNA", at positions 29 to 334 of the family's 1533-position model. The record is from RNAcentral.